This 229-nucleotide non-coding RNA is filed under the name Streptomyces curacoi. RNAcentral's name for it is "Streptomyces sRNA 4677". It matches the Rfam family "Streptomyces sRNA 4677". From Rfam's summary of the family: Located in the intergenic region between anti-sigma factor SCO4677 gene and a putative regulatory protein gene SCO4676. scr4677 expression requires the SCO4677 activity and scr4677 sRNA itself seem to affect the levels of the SCO4676-associated transcripts. The record is from Rfam by way of RNAcentral. Lineage: Bacteria; Bacillati; Actinomycetota; Actinomycetes; Kitasatosporales; Streptomycetaceae.
UGACCCGGCGCUUCCCGACGCCAAGAACCAAAGAACCGGGAAAAGAACCCACCCAUCCCUACCGCCCCCCGUCGAUCACCCGCAGGGGUGAACAUCGCCAACUCGGCUGGCGUGGAGGGGAUUCGAUGGUGCAGCGUCAGCCGCAACAACCCCACACAUGCAUCGGCCCUCGCCGGGACUGGCAUCCCAGUGCGAGGGCCUGAUCACCGAGGAAGUUAGGGCCUUCCCG